RNAcentral lists this long non-coding RNA (200 nucleotides) under Phoenix dactylifera (date palm). Its description in RNAcentral is "long non-coding RNA (PDAC_LNC011368)". Lineage: Eukaryota; Viridiplantae; Streptophyta; Magnoliopsida; Arecales; Arecaceae. The record is from RNAcentral.
AUUGUUUGAUUUGAAGCCUGAGGAAAAAGUUCAGCUCUCCCAUCAUGCUCAUCUCAAAUUCACUCUGCAUCAAAUCAGCAAAUUCCUCGCAGAGGCGAUUGUUAGUAGCACCGAAAAUAAUAUCAUCAACAUAAAUUUGCACUACUAACAUAUCUUUGUUUUUCUUCUUUAGAAACAGUGUUGUAUCUAUAUUUCCCCUA